Molecule: ribosomal RNA, 424 nt
Filed under: uncultured bacterium
Lineage: Bacteria
Description: bacterial SSU rRNA
Rfam family: Bacterial small subunit ribosomal RNA
Source: RNAcentral
AGAGUUUGAUCCUGGCUCAGAUUGAACGCUGGCGGCGUGCUUAACACAUGCAAGUCGUGCGAGAAAGGGGACUUCGGUCCCUGAGUAGAGCGGCGCACGGGUGAGUAACGCGUGGAUAAUCUCCCCAGAAGUUCGGGAUAACGGCGGGAAACUGCCGCUAAUACCGGAUACGCUCCAAUUUCGGUUGGGGGAAAGGCGGCCUCUGUUUACAAGCUGUCGCUUCUGGAUGAGUCCGCGUCCCAUUAGCUUGUUGGUGGGGUAAUGGCCUACCAAGGCUACGAUGGGUAGCUGGUCUGAGAGGAUGAUCAGCCACACUGGAACUGAAACACGGUCUAGACUCCUACGGGAGGCAGCAGUGGGGAAUAUUGCGCAAUGGGGGAAACCCUGACGCAGCGACGCCGUGUGAGGGAUGAAGGCUUUCGGG